AGUGAACGCUGGCGGUAGGCCUAACACAUGCAAGUCGAACGGCAGCACAGUAAGAGCUUGCUCUUACGGGUGGCGAGUGGCGGACGGGUGAGGAAUACAUCGGAAUCUACUUUUUCGUGGGGGAUAACGUAGGGAAACUUACGCUAAUACCGCAUACGACCUACGGGUGAAAGCAGGGGAUCUUCGGACCUUGCGCGAUUGAAUGAGCCGAUGUCGGAUUAGCCAGUUGGCGGGGUAAAGGCCCACCAAGGCGACGAUCCGUAGCUGGUCUGAGAGGAUGAUCAGCCACACUGGAACUGAGACACGGUCCAGACUCCUACGGGAGGCAGCAGUGGGGAAUAUUGGACAAUGGGCGCAAGCCUGAUCCAGCCAUACCGCGUGGGUGAAGAAGGCCUUCGGGUUGUAAAGCCCUUUUGUUGGGAAAGAAAAGCAGCAGGUUAAUACCCCGCUGUUCUGACGGGACCCAAAGAAUAAGCACCGGCUAACUUCGU
Molecule: ribosomal RNA, 491 nt
Filed under: uncultured bacterium
Lineage: Bacteria
Description: partial 16S ribosomal RNA
Rfam family: Bacterial small subunit ribosomal RNA
Source: RNAcentral